Long non-coding RNA from Trematomus bernacchii (emerald rockcod), 469 nucleotides. RefSeq lists it as uncharacterized. Lineage: Eukaryota; Metazoa; Chordata; Actinopteri; Perciformes; Nototheniidae. The record is from RefSeq and is a predicted model, not a curated record. The transcript has 3 exons.
UAUAAGGAAACCUGCACAGACGUUAUCCUACUGCCAUGGUUGGAUCUAAGUGGAACAGCAACGACCAGAGAAACACUGGUGUUUUCAUACUGUAUGAAAGACUGAGCACACACUCCUAAACAUGAACCUGACUGAUUGUGAUGAUGCCUUCAUGAAACAGAAAGAGCUCCUCUUCCUCCCACCUGCUUUGUUGGACUUCCAGAUCCAGAGAUGCUUCAUUCCUGCCCCUCCCCAUCUCUGCAACCACUAGCAGUUUCUGCGCAAGCCAAUUAAUUGAAGUCCAAAGAUUGCAGAGACGCUCCACCCGAGACUUCAGUGCCUUACUUUUCCAACAACGCCCCCUAAUACGACGUCCAAUGUGCUCUUUUACUGUGUACUUUAAGCCUCCGCACUGUUUUAUAAUAAAUGAACUAUUGUCUGCAACCACCUGAUCAGUAAUUUGAGACCAGAAUAAUUAGUAUAAAACAGA